UACGUAGGUGACCAGCGUUGUCCGGAUUUACUGGGCGUAAGGAGCGCGCAGGCGGUCGUUCAAGUCGAGUGUGAAAGCCCCCGGCUCAACUGGGGAGGGUCAUUCGAUACUGAUCGACUUGAAGGCAGGAGAGGGAAGUGGAAUUCCCGGUGUAGUGGUGGAAUGCGUAGAUAUCGGGAGGAACACCAGUGGCGAAGGCGGUUGCCUGGAGCUUUGCUGACGCUGAGGCGCGAAAGCGUGGGGAGCGAUCCGG
This 253-nucleotide ribosomal RNA is filed under the name uncultured bacterium. RNAcentral's name for it is "partial 16S ribosomal RNA". It matches the Rfam family "Bacterial small subunit ribosomal RNA", at positions 524 to 776 of the family's 1533-position model. The record is from RNAcentral.